This 376-nucleotide ribosomal RNA is filed under the name uncultured bacterium. RNAcentral's name for it is "bacterial SSU rRNA". It matches the Rfam family "Bacterial small subunit ribosomal RNA", at positions 523 to 898 of the family's 1533-position model. The record is from RNAcentral.
AUACGUAGGGAGCGAGCGUUGUCCGGAUUUACUGGGUGUAAAGGGUGCGUAGGCGGCUCUGCAAGUCAGGUGUGAAAACCAUCGGCUUAACUGAUGGACUGCAUUUGAAACUGUGGGGCUUGAGUGGAGUAGAGGCAGACGGAAUUCCCGGUGUAGCGGUGAAAUGCGUAGAGAUCGGGAAGAACACUAGUGGCGAAGGCGGUCUGCUGGGCUCUAACUGACGCUGAGGCACGAAAGCAUGGGUAGCAAGCAGGAUUAGAUACCCUGGUAGUCCAUGCCGUAAACGAUGAUUACUGGGUGUGGGGGGUCUGACCCUCUCCGUGCCGGAGUUAACACAAUAAGUAAUCCGCCUGGGAAGUACGACCGCAAGGUUGAA